GAUGAACGCUGGCGGCGUGCCUAAUACAUGCAAGUCGAGCGAACAGACGAGGAGCUUGCUCCUCUGACGUUAGCGGCGGACGGGUGAGUAACACGUGGAUAACCUACCUAUAAGACUGGGAUAACUUCGGGAAACCGGAGCUAAUACCGGAUAAUAUAUUGAACCGCAUGGUUCAAUAGUGAAAGACGGUUUUGCUGUCACUUAUAGAUGGAUCCGCGCCGCAUUAGCUAGUUGGUAAGGUAACGGCUUACCAAGGCAACGAUGCGUAGCCGACCUGAGAGGGUGAUCGGCCACACUGGAACUGAGACACGGUCCAGACUCCUACGGGAGGCAGCAGUAGGGAAUCUUCCGCAAUGGGCGAAAGCCUGACGGAGCAACGCCGGGUGAGUGAUGAAGGUCUUCGGAUUGUAAAACUCUGUUAUUAGGGAAAAAAAAAUGUGUAAGUAACUAUGCACGUCUUGACGGUACCUAAUCAGAAAGCCACGGCUAACUACGU
This 496-nucleotide ribosomal RNA is filed under the name uncultured bacterium. RNAcentral's name for it is "partial 16S ribosomal RNA". It matches the Rfam family "Bacterial small subunit ribosomal RNA", at positions 28 to 506 of the family's 1533-position model. The record is from RNAcentral.